GACGAACGCUGGCGGCGUGCUUAACACAUGCAAGUCGAACGGAAAGGCCCUGCUUUUGUGGGGUGCUCGAGUGGCGAACGGGUGAGUAACACGUGAGUAACCUGCCCUUGACUUUGGGAUAACUUCAGGCAACUGGGGCUAAUACCGGAUAGGAGCUCCUGCUGCAUGGUGGGGGUUGGAAAGUUUCGGCGGUUGGGGAUGGACUCGCGGCUUAUCAGCUUGUUGGUGGGGUAGUGGCUUACCAAGGCUUUGACGGGUAGCCGGCCUGAGAGGGUGACCGGCCAAAUUGGGACUGAGAUACGGCCCAGACUCCUACGGGAGGCAGCAGUGGGGAAUAUUGCACAAUGGGCGGAAGCCUGAUGCAGCAACGCCGCGUGCGGGAUGACGGCCUUCGGGUUGUAAACCGCUUUCGCCUGUGACGAAGCGUGAGUGACGGUAAUGGGUAAAGAAGCACCGGCUAACUACGUG
RNAcentral lists this ribosomal RNA (468 nucleotides) under uncultured bacterium. RNAcentral describes it as "partial 16S ribosomal RNA". It matches the Rfam family "Bacterial small subunit ribosomal RNA", at positions 28 to 507 of the family's 1533-position model. The record is from RNAcentral.